UACGUAGGUGGCAAGCGUUGUCCGGAUUUACUGGGCGUAAAGAGCGCGCAGGCGGUCGAUCAAGUCGAGUGUGAAAGCCCCCGGCUCAACUGGGGAGGGUCAUUCGAUACUGAUCGACUCGAAGGCAGGAGAGGGUAGUGGAAUUCCAGGUGUAGCGGUGAAAUGCGUAGAUAUCUGGAGGAAUACCGGUGGCGAAGGCGGCAUCCUGGACCAUUACUGACGCUGAGGCGCGAAAGCUAGGGGAGCAAACGGG
This 253-nucleotide ribosomal RNA is filed under the name uncultured bacterium. Its description in RNAcentral is "partial 16S ribosomal RNA". It matches the Rfam family "Bacterial small subunit ribosomal RNA", at positions 524 to 776 of the family's 1533-position model. The record is from RNAcentral.